RNAcentral lists this ribosomal RNA (253 nucleotides) under uncultured bacterium. Its description in RNAcentral is "partial 16S ribosomal RNA". It matches the Rfam family "Bacterial small subunit ribosomal RNA", at positions 524 to 776 of the family's 1533-position model. The record is from RNAcentral.
GACGGAGGGGGCGAGCGUUGUCCGGAUUUACUGGGCGUAAAGAGCGCGUAGGCGGCUCAUUAAGUCGGCUGUUAAAUCGCUGGGCUUAACUCAGCGGGGCCAGUCGAUACUGGUGGGCUUGAGUUCGGGAGAGGGAAGCGGAAUUGCUGGUGUAGCGGUGGAAUGCGUAGAUAUCAGCAAGAACACCGGUGGCGAAGGCGGCUUCCUGGACCGAUACUAACGCUGAGGCGCGAAAGCUAGGGUAGCGAACGGG